GCCCGGGUGGCGAAAUUGGUAGACGCAGUGGAUUCAAAAUCCACCGAUGGCAACAUCGUGUCGGUUCGAGUCCGACCCCGGGCA
RNAcentral lists this transfer RNA (84 nucleotides) under Terasakiispira papahanaumokuakeensis. Its description in RNAcentral is "Halomonadaceae bacterium PH27A tRNA". It matches the Rfam family "tRNA". From Rfam's summary of the family: Transfer RNA (tRNA) molecules are approximately 80 nucleotides in length. Their secondary structure includes four short double-helical elements and three loops (D, anti-codon, and T loops). The record is from Rfam by way of RNAcentral. Lineage: Bacteria; Pseudomonadati; Pseudomonadota; Gammaproteobacteria; Oceanospirillales.